GAAACCCGGGAAUUUGUUGCCGAACGAAGAUGUUCAGAGCGCGCUUCGGUCCACAUAUGGGUACUCGAGAGGUCUGAAGUUCCAUGAAACCACCAUGAAUCCAGGGCUCGGAUCACCUCGUUGCCUUUUCUCUUCUUAAACCCGACCCUGUUAAAAGUGAAUGGGGCAUCAAUCCUGUUCUCCAUAAUAUCGCCGCAGUGGUUUUGCUCUUCCAUGAUUUGCUCUACUCACUGUAACAUCCUACUAUGCCUCCUUAAGUGCUUCUCAUGAUGGAAUUUCACUUCUCACUCAAAGAAAUGAAGACAGCCACACUUCUCGAACUUAGCAACAAAGGACUCAAUGAUUUCACAGGAUUCAAGCUAAUCCACACUUUCCAUAAGUGUUGUGAAGGAAGGGCCUGGCUGGCUGUCUCCUUUCCAGCACUCGAGGUACCUUAAAAUUCACAAAGUGCGCAGGAGGGAGGGAUGUACAGUGGCACCUCAAAAGAAAGGGGGAGGGCUAUGCUUUUAGGUACAGCCAGAAGUGGCAGUGACUCAGUUUGGAUUCAAUUAGUUUAUUGACUCUGCUUUCUACAUUUGCAGGCUCAUUUCAAUCUUGUCUUUGGCAAUAACUACGAGAUUCUUAUAUUUGUAGGACAAUACAUUGAACCAAAACUCAAAGCAAAUUAUUAUUGGAUUAUUUUUCAUUUGAUUGCUCAAAUGGAAUGAGAUUGUCAGAGGUUUAAGAAAAAGAGAAGAAAAAGUGAAGUAUGGUUGCUCUCAGAAUCAAACUGGAAACCACACACACUUGUCCUCAAAAAGUAGGCAAUCAUCAAUGUUUGUCAAAAUAUCUCAUCCUUUGCCUCUUCCAAUGCUUCUACUCAUCUAAUUAAACACACAAUUCUUUUCACUUUUUGUGGGUUAACUUAUAGAUUUGGUCUUGGUCGCUGUUAUUUCUUAUCUCUAUGUAUUUCACCGCUCUAUCGAAAAUUUUCUUUAUUC
Non-coding RNA from Cucurbita pepo subsp. pepo (vegetable marrow), 980 nucleotides. NCBI's taxonomy places the organism in Eukaryota, Viridiplantae, Streptophyta, Magnoliopsida, Cucurbitales, Cucurbitaceae. The record is from RefSeq and is a predicted model, not a curated record.